AACGAACGCUGGCGGCAUGCCUAACACAUGCAAGUCGAACGAGACCUUCGGGUCUAGUGGCGCACGGGUGCGUAACGCGGGGGAACCUGCCUUUAGGUUCGGAAUAACUCAGAUACAUGUGAGCUAAUACCGGAAGAUGUCUUCGGACCAAAGAUUUAUCGCCUUUAGAUGGGCCCGCGUUGGAUUAGCUAGUUGGUGGUGUAAAGGCCUACCAAGGCUACGAUCCAUAGCUGGUCUGAGAGGAUGAUCAGCCACACUGGGACUGAGACACGGCCCAGACUCCUGCGGGAGGCAGCAGUGGGGAAUAUUGGACAAUGGGCGAAAGCAUGAUCCAGCAAUGCCGCGUGAGUGAUGAAGGCCUUAGGGUUGUAAAGCUCGUUUACCCGAGAUGAUAAUGACAGUAUCGGGAGAAUAAGCUCCGGCUAACUCCGUG
Molecule: ribosomal RNA, 433 nt
Filed under: uncultured bacterium
Lineage: Bacteria
Description: partial 16S ribosomal RNA
Rfam family: Bacterial small subunit ribosomal RNA
Source: RNAcentral